CACUCCUGCGGGAGGCAGCAGUGGGGAAUAUUGGACAAUGGGCGCAAGCCUGAUCCAGCCAUGCCGCGUGAGUGAUGAAGGCCCUAGGGUUGUAAAGCUCUUUCACCGGUGAAGAUAAUGACGGUAACCGGAGAAGAAGCCCCGGCUAACUUCGUGCCAGCAGCCGCGGUAAUACGAAGGGGGCUAGCGUUGUUCGGAUUUACUGGGCGUAAAGCGCACGUAGGCGGACUAUUAAGUCAUGGGUGAAAUCCCGGGGCUCAACCCCGGAACUGCCUUUGAUACUGGUAGUCUUGAGUUCGAGGGAGGUGAGUGGAAUUCCGAGUGUAGAGGUGAAAUUCGUAGAUAUUCGGAGGAACACCAGUGGCGAAGGCGGCUCACUGGCUCGAUACUGACGCUGAGGUGCGAAAGCGUGGGGAGCAAACAGGAUUAGAAACCCUGGUAGUCCCAUGA
Molecule: ribosomal RNA, 450 nt
Filed under: uncultured organism
Description: partial 16S ribosomal RNA
Rfam family: Bacterial small subunit ribosomal RNA
Source: RNAcentral